Molecule: ribosomal RNA, 254 nt
Filed under: uncultured bacterium
Lineage: Bacteria
Description: partial 16S ribosomal RNA
Rfam family: Bacterial small subunit ribosomal RNA
Source: RNAcentral
UACGUAGGGUGCGGGCGUUGUCCGGAAUUAUUGGGCGUAAAGAGCUCGUAGGCGGUGUGUCACGUCGGCCGUGAAAACCUGCAGCUUAACUGUGGGCGUGCGGUCGAUACGGGCAUCACUGGAGUUCGGCAGGGGAGACUGGAAUUCCUGGUGUAGCGGUGAAAUGCGCAGAUAUCAGGAGGAACACCGGUGGCGAAGGCGGGUCUCUGGGCAGUAACUGACGCUGAGGAGCGAAAGCGUGGGGAGCGAACAGG